GGAAUUGUGGCUCCGUGGCAGAGUGCUUGCCUCACAAGUAAGAGGCACUGUGUUCGAUCCUCAGCACCA
RNAcentral lists this transfer RNA (69 nucleotides) under Ictidomys tridecemlineatus (thirteen-lined ground squirrel). RNAcentral's name for it is "Spermophilus tridecemlineatus (thirteen-lined ground squirrel) tRNA". It matches the Rfam family "tRNA". Rfam says of the family: Transfer RNA (tRNA) molecules are approximately 80 nucleotides in length. Their secondary structure includes four short double-helical elements and three loops (D, anti-codon, and T loops). Further hydrogen bonds mediate the characteristic L-shaped molecular structure. tRNAs have two regions of fundamental functional importance: the anti-codon, which is responsible for specific mRNA codon recognition, and the 3' end, to which the tRNAs corresponding amino acid is attached (by aminoacyl-tRNA synthetases). tRNAs cope with the degeneracy of the genetic code in two manners: having more than one tRNA (with a specific anti-codon) for a particular amino acid; and 'wobble' base-pairing, i.e. permitting non-standard base-pairing at the 3rd anti-codon position. The record is from Rfam by way of RNAcentral. Lineage: Eukaryota; Metazoa; Chordata; Mammalia; Rodentia; Sciuridae.